AUUGAACGCUGGCGGAAUGCUUUACACAUGCAAGUCGAGCGGCAGCGCGGGGCAACCUGGCGGCGAGCGGCGAACGGGUGAGUAAUGCAUCGGAACGUGUCCAUGUCGUGGGGGAUAGCCCGGCGAAAGCCGGAUUAAUACCGCAUACGCCCGAGAGGGGAAAGUGGGGGACCGCAAGGCCUCACGCGAUUGGGUCGGCCGAUGUCCGAUUAGCUAGUUGGCGGGGUAAAGGCCCACCAAGGCGAUGAUCGGUAGCUGGUCUGAGAGGAUGAUCAGCCACACUGGGACUGAGACACGGCCCAGACUCCUACGGGAGGCAGCAGUGGGGAAUUUUGGACAAUGGGGGCAACCCUGAUCCAGCCAUUCCGCGUGAGUGAAGAAGGCCUUCGGGUUGUAAAGCUCUUUUGUCCGGAACGAAACGGAUGACGUGAAUAUCGUCGUCUACUGACGGUACCGGAAGAAUAAGCACCGGCUAACUACGUGCCAGCAGCCGCAGUAA
RNAcentral lists this ribosomal RNA (499 nucleotides) under uncultured bacterium. RNAcentral's name for it is "partial 16S ribosomal RNA". It matches the Rfam family "Bacterial small subunit ribosomal RNA", at positions 29 to 523 of the family's 1533-position model. The record is from RNAcentral.